UAAGGAAUAUUGGUCAAUGGACGCAAGUCUGAACCAGCCAUGCCGCGUGAAGGAUGAAGGUCCUCUGGAUUGUAAACUUCUUUUAUCUGGGACGAAAACGGGAUUUUUAUCUCAAUUGACGGUACCAGAGGAAUAAGCACCGGCUAACUCCGUGCCAGCAGCCGCGGUAAUACGGAGGGUGCGAGCGUUAUCCGGAUUUACUGGGUUUAAAGGGUGCGUAGGUGGGCUUAUAAGUCAGUGGUGAAAUCUCCGAGCUUAACUUGGAAACUGCCGGUGAUACUAUAGGUCUUGAAUUAUCUGGAGGUAAGCGGAAUAGGUCAGGUAGCGGUGAAAUGCUUAGAUAUGACAUAGAACACCAAUUGCGAAGGCAGCUUACUACAUAUAAAUUGACGCUGAGGCACGAAAGCGUGG
Molecule: ribosomal RNA, 411 nt
Filed under: uncultured bacterium
Lineage: Bacteria
Description: bacterial SSU rRNA
Rfam family: Bacterial small subunit ribosomal RNA
Source: RNAcentral